This 347-nucleotide ribosomal RNA is filed under the name Escherichia coli. Its description in RNAcentral is "bacterial SSU rRNA". It matches the Rfam family "Bacterial small subunit ribosomal RNA", at positions 1010 to 1357 of the family's 1533-position model. Lineage: Bacteria; Pseudomonadati; Pseudomonadota; Gammaproteobacteria; Enterobacterales; Enterobacteriaceae. The record is from RNAcentral.
GAAUGUGCCUUCGGGAACCGUGAGACAGGUGCUGCAUGGCUGUCGUCAGCUCGUGUUGUGAAAUGUUGGGUUAAGUCCCGCAACGAGCGCAACCCUUAUCCUUUGUUGCCAGCGGUCCGGCCGGGAACUCAAAGGAGACUGCCAGUGAUAAACUGGAGGAAGGUGGGGAUGACGUCAAGUCAUCAUGGCCCUUACGACCAGGGCUACACACGUGCUACAAUGGCGCAUACAAAGAGAAGCGACCUCGCGAGAGCAAGCGGACCUCAUAAAGUGCGUCGUAGUCCGGAUUGGAGUCUGCAACUCGACUCCAUGAAGUCGGAAUCGCUAGUAAUCGUGGAUCAGAAUGC